Molecule: long non-coding RNA, 6122 nt
Filed under: Cicer arietinum (chickpea)
Lineage: Eukaryota; Viridiplantae; Streptophyta; Magnoliopsida; Fabales; Fabaceae
Description: long non-coding RNA (CARI_LNC001520)
Source: RNAcentral
AAUUUUUUGUGUGUGGGGAUCAUUUGCAUCUCUAGCGGACUCUACAACUGCACUCUCUCUCACUUUUGCUUACAAGUUACACAGUCUUCCUUUCUCCCUCCUUCAGAUUCACGAAUCACGACAAACGCGCGGCUGCCUCACUCUGCCUCCAGUCCAGAUCGCUCCUCUGCUCGCUGCGGUCCUGCGGCCUCCUCUGCCUAACUGCCUCUGUGGCCGUUCGUCCUCUCUACUGCCUCCGUGUCCGUUCGUCCUCUCUGUUCGCCGCAACCUCAUCUGUCUCCAGAUCGCGUUGCUGCUUUGUUCAAAAGGUUCAGAUUUCUAUUUUGUUAGUGCUGAUUGUUGUUAGUUAUUGUUGAUUUUUGUUAGUUAGUGUUUAUUUUUGUUAGUUAGUUUUGAUUUGGAAUUCUGUUAGUUUGAAUUGUCGCUCCUCUGUUCGUUAGUUUUGAUAGUUCGCUCCCCUGACUCAGUUUUGAUUUCAAUUUUUCUUAGUUCGUCGCCUCCGUGGCAGUUUUGAGUUCUUUAUUUUGUUGAGUUUUUACCUAUCCUAACAAUUUAACAUAUACGGCAGUACCCGAUAUUUUUGUGGAAUUCUACUUUUUGCUUAUGUUGUUCAGUUAGCAUGAAAUUUAAAGCUUAUUUUGUUAGUUUUGAGUUUGGAGCUUUGAUUUGGAUUUUGGAAUUUUGAUUUGGAGUUUAGUGCUGAUUUUUGUUUAGAGUUUUUUUUUGUUGCACAUAAAGUGUUUGAUUUUAUGUCCAUGUAAAGUGUUUGAGUUUUUUUGUUGCACAUAAGGUGUUUGAUUUUAUGUCCAAAGUGUUUGAGUUUUUUUGUUGCACAUAAGGUGUUUGAUUUUAUGUCCAAAGUGUUUGAGUUUUUUUGUUGCACAUAAGGUGUUUGAUUUUAUGUCCAAAGUGUUUGAGUUUUUUUGUUGCACAUAAGGUGUUUGAUUUUAUGUCCAAAGUGUUUGAGUUUUUUUGUUGCACAUAAGGUGUUUGAUUUUAUGUCCAAAGUGUUUGAGUUUUUUUGUUGCACAUAAGGUGUUUGAUUUUAUGUCCAAAGUGUUUGAGUUUUUUUGUUGCACAUAAGGUGUUUGAUUUUAUGUCCAAAGUGUUUGAGUUUUUUUGUUGCACAUAAGGUGUUUGAUUUUAUGUCCAAAGUGUUUGAGUUUUUUUGUUGCACAUAAGGUGUUUGAUUUUAUGUCCAAAGUGUUUGAGUUUUUUUGUUGCACAUAAGGUGUUUGAUUUUAUGUCCAAAGUGUUUGAGUUUUUUUGUUGCACAUAAGGUGUUUGAUUUUAUGUCCAAAGUGUUUGAGUUUUUUUGUUGCACAUAAGGUGUUUGAUUUUAUGUCCAAAGUGUUUGAGUUUUUUUGUUGCACAUAAGGUGUUUGAUUUUAUGUCCAAAGUGUUUGAGUUUUUUUGUUGCACAUAAGGUGUUUGAUUUUAUGUCCAAAGUGUUUGAGUUUUUUUGUUGCACAUAAGGUGUUUGAUUUUAUGUCCAAAGUGUUUGAGUUUUUUUGUUGCACAUAAGGUGUUUGAUUUUAUGUCCAAAGUGUUUGAGUUUUUUUGUUGCACAUAAGGUGUUUGAUUUUAUGUCCAAAGUGUUUGAGUUUUUUUGUUGCACAUAAGGUGUUUGAUUUUAUGUCCAAAGUGUUUGAGUUUUUUUGUUGCACAUAAGGUGUUUGAUUUUAUGUCCAAAGUGUUUGAGUUUUUUUGUUGCACAUAAGGUGUUUGAUUUUAUGUCCAAAGUGUUUGAGUUUUUUUGUUGCACAUAAGGUGUUUGAUUUUAUGUCCAAAGUGUUUGAGUUUUUUUGUUGCACAUAAGGUGUUUGAUUUUAUGUCCAAAGUGUUUGAGUUUUUUUGUUGCACAUAAGGUGUUUGAUUUUAUGUCCAAAGUGUUUGAGUUUUUUUGUUGCACAUAAGGUGUUUGAUUUUAUGUCCAAAGUGUUUGAGUUUUUUUGUUGCACAUAAGGUGUUUGAUUUUAUGUCCAAAGUGUUUGAGUUUUUUUGUUGCACAUAAGGUGUUUGAUUUUAUGUCCAAAGUGUUUGAGUUUUUUUGUUGCACAUAAGGUGUUUGAUUUUAUGUCCAAAGUGUUUGAGUUUUUUUGUUGCACAUAAGGUGUUUGAUUUUAUGUCCAAAGUGUUUGAGUUUUUUUGUUGCACAUAAGGUGUUUGAUUUUAUGUCCAAAGUGUUUGAGUUUUUUUGUUGCACAUAAGGUGUUUGAUUUUAUGUCCAAAGUGUUUGAGUUUUUUUGUUGCACAUAAGGUGUUUGAUUUUAUGUCCAAAGUGUUUGAGUUUUUUUGUUGCACAUAAGGUGUUUGAUUUUAUGUCCAAAGUGUUUGAGUUUUUUUGUUGCACAUAAGGUGUUUGAUUUUAUGUCCAAAGUGUUUGAGUUUUUUUGUUGCACAUAAGGUGUUUGAUUUUAUGUCCAAAGUGUUUGAGUUUUUUUGUUGCACAUAAGGUGUUUGAUUUUAUGUCCAAAGUGUUUGAGUUUUUUUGUUGCACAUAAGGUGUUUGAUUUUAUGUCCAAAGUGUUUGAGUUUUUUUGUUGCACAUAAGGUGUUUGAUUUUAUGUCCAAAGUGUUUGAGUUUUUUUGUUGCACAUAAGGUGUUUGAUUUUAUGUCCAAAGUGUUUGAGUUUUUUUGUUGCACAUAAGGUGUUUGAUUUUAUGUCCAAAGUGUUUGAGUUUUUUUGUUGCACAUAAGGUGUUUGAUUUUAUGUCCAAAGUGUUUGAGUUUUUUUGUUGCACAUAAGGUGUUUGAUUUUAUGUCCAAAGUGUUUGAGUUUUUUUGUUGCACAUAAGGUGUUUGAUUUUAUGUCCAAAGUGUUUGAGUUUUUUUGUUGCACAUAAGGUGUUUGAUUUUAUGUCCAAAGUGUUUGAGUUUUUUUGUUGCACAUAAGGUGUUUGAUUUUAUGUCCAAAGUGUUUGAGUUUUUUUGUUGCACAUAAGGUGUUUGAUUUUAUGUCCAAAGUGUUUGAGUUUUUUUGUUGCACAUAAGGUGUUUGAUUUUAUGUCCAAAGUGUUUGAGUUUUUUUGUUGCACAUAAGGUGUUUGAUUUUAUGUCCAAAGUGUUUGAGUUUUUUUGUUGCACAUAAGGUGUUUGAUUUUAUGUCCAAAGUGUUUGAGUUUUUUUGUUGCACAUAAGGUGUUUGAUUUUAUGUCCAAAGUGUUUGAGUUUUUUUGUUGCACAUAAGGUGUUUGAUUUUAUGUCCAAAGUGUUUGAGUUUUUUUGUUGCACAUAAGGUGUUUGAUUUUAUGUCCAAAGUGUUUGAGUUUUUUUGUUGCACAUAAGGUGUUUGAUUUUAUGUCCAAAGUGUUUGAGUUUUUUUGUUGCACAUAAGGUGUUUGAUUUUAUGUCCAAAGUGUUUGAGUUUUUUUGUUGCACAUAAGGUGUUUGAUUUUAUGUCCAAAGUGUUUGAGUUUUUUUGUUGCACAUAAGGUGUUUGAUUUUAUGUCCAAAGUGUUUGAGUUUUUUUGUUGCACAUAAGGUGUUUGAUUUUAUGUCCAAAGUGUUUGAGUUUUUUUGUUGCACAUAAGGUGUUUGAUUUUAUGUCCAAAGUGUUUGAGUUUUUUUGUUGCACAUAAGGUGUUUGAUUUUAUGUCCAAAGUGUUUGAGUUUUUUUGUUGCACAUAAGGUGUUUGAUUUUAUGUCCAAAGUGUUUGAGUUUUUUUGUUGCACAUAAGGUGUUUGAUUUUAUGUCCAAAGUGUUUGAGUUUUUUUGUUGCACAUAAGGUGUUUGAUUUUAUGUCCAAAGUGUUUGAGUUUUUUUGUUGCACAUAAGGUGUUUGAUUUUAUGUCCAAAGUGUUUGAGUUUUUUUGUUGCACAUAAGGUGUUUGAUUUUAUGUCCAAAGUGUUUGAGUUUUUUUGUUGCACAUAAGGUGUUUGAUUUUAUGUCCAAAGUGUUUGAGUUUUUUUGUUGCACAUAAGGUGUUUGAUUUUAUGUCCAAAGUGUUUGAGUUUUUUUGUUGCACAUAAGGUGUUUGAUUUUAUGUCCAAAGUGUUUGAGUUUUUUUGUUGCACAUAAGGUGUUUGAUUUUAUGUCCAAAGUGUUUGAGUUUUUUUGUUGCACAUAAGGUGUUUGAUUUUAUGUCCAAAGUGUUUGAGUUUUUUUGUUGCACAUAAGGUGUUUGAUUUUAUGUCCAAAGUGUUUGAGUUUUUUUGUUGCACAUAAGGUGUUUGAUUUUAUGUCCAAAGUGUUUGAGUUUUUUUGUUGCACAUAAGGUGUUUGAUUUUAUGUCCAAAGUGUUUGAGUUUUUUUGUUGCACAUAAGGUGUUUGAUUUUAUGUCCAAAGUGUUUGAGUUUUUUUGUUGCACAUAAGGUGUUUGAUUUUAUGUCCAAAGUGUUUGAGUUUUUUUGUUGCACAUAAGGUGUUUGAUUUUAUGUCCAAAGUGUUUGAGUUUUUUUGUUGCACAUAAGGUGUUUGAUUUUAUGUCCAAAGUGUUUGAGUUUUUUUGUUGCACAUAAGGUGUUUGAUUUUAUGUCCAAAGUGUUUGAGUUUUUUUGUUGCACAUAAGGUGUUUGAUUUUAUGUCCAAAGUGUUUGAGUUUUUUUGUUGCACAUAAGGUGUUUGAUUUUAUGUCCAAAGUGUUUGAGUUUUUUUGUUGCACAUAAGGUGUUUGAUUUUAUGUCCAAAGUGUUUGAGUUUUUUUGUUGCACAUAAGGUGUUUGAUUUUAUGUCCAAAGUGUUUGAGUUUUUUUGUUGCACAUAAGGUGUUUGAUUUUAUGUCCAAAGUGUUUGAGUUUUUUUGUUGCACAUAAGGUGUUUGAUUUUAUGUCCAAAGUGUUUGAGUUUUUUUGUUGCACAUAAGGUGUUUGAUUUUAUGUCCAAAGUGUUUGAGUUUUUUUGUUGCACAUAAGGUGUUUGAUUUUAUGUCCAAAGUGUUUGAGUUUUUUUGUUGCACAUAAGGUGUUUGAUUUUAUGUCCAAAGUGUUUGAGUUUUUUUGUUGCACAUAAGGUGUUUGAUUUUAUGUCCAAAGUGUAAAAAAUUAAAUUAGAUGAUUGUGAUAAAUAUGAUUUUCCCUCAUUUUAAUUUUCUUAAUUAUAUUCAAUUAUUAUAAAUCAAUAAAAUAAUAUUAUAAAAUAACUAUAUUUAUAAUACAUAAAAAAUUACUUAUAAAACUUAUAAAAUUAUAAAAUUAUUUAUAAUAAAUUUAUAUUAUUAUUUAAAAAUAUAUCUUUUAUAUUUGAGGCUUGUUAUAAUAGAAUAAUAUUUAUGUAUUUAGCAUAAACCCUUGUAUUUCGAGUAGUUACACAUUGUUUUAGUAAAAAAGAUUUAGAUUAUUUAAGUUAGGUGCUUAAGAAAUAUGUAAAUCUCCGUUAUCAAUUUAAUUUUAUAAAAUAUAUUGACAUGUGUAUUUUUUUUUGGUAACAUUGAAUUGAAUAAUAUUUGAAUUUUUUGUGUGUGGGGAUCAUUUGCAUCUCUAGCGGACUCUACAACUGCACUCUCUCUCACUUUUGCUUACAAGUUACACAGUCUUCCUUUCUCCCUCCUUCAGAUUCACGAAUCACGACAAACGCGCGGCUGCCUCACUCUGCCUCCAGUCCAGAUCGCUCCUCUGCUCGCUGCGGUCCUGCGGCCUCCUCUGCCUAACUGCCUCUGUGGCCGUUCGUCCUCUCUACUGCCUCCGUGUCCGUUCGUCCUCUCUGUUCGCCGCAACCUCAUCUGUCUCCAGAUCGCGUUGCUGCUUUGUUCAAAAGGUUCAGAUUUCUAUUUUGUUAGUGCUGAUUGUUGUUAGUUAUUGUUGAUUUUUGUUAGUUAGUGUUUAUUUUUGUUAGUUAGUUUUGAUUUGGAAUUCUGUUAGUUUGAAUUGUCGCUCCUCUGUUCGUUAGUUUUGAUAGUUCGCUCCCCUGACUCAGUUUUGAUUUCAAUUUUUCUUAGUUCGUCGCCUCCGUGGCAGUUUUGAGUUCUUUAUUUUGUUGAGUUUUUACCUAUCCUAACAAUUUAACAUAUACGGCAGUACCCGAUAUUUUUGUGGAAUUCUACUUUUUGCUUAUGUUGUUCAGUUAGCAUGAAAUUUAAAGCUUAUUUUGUUAGUUUUGAGUUUGGAGCUUUGAUUUGGAUUUUGGAAUUUUGAUUUGGAGUUUAGUGCUGAUUUUUGUUUAGAGUUUUUUUUUGUUGCAC